GGGCCGGUAGCUCAGCCUGGAAGAGCGCCCGGCUUGCACCCGGGAGGCCCCGGGUUCAAAUCCCGGCCGGUCCACCA
RNAcentral lists this transfer RNA (77 nucleotides) under Aeropyrum pernix. It matches the Rfam family "tRNA". From Rfam's summary of the family: Transfer RNA (tRNA) molecules are approximately 80 nucleotides in length. RNAcentral also lists the same sequence under 5 other names. The record is from RNAcentral. Lineage: Archaea; Thermoproteati; Thermoproteota; Thermoprotei; Acidilobales; Acidilobaceae.